RNAcentral lists this ribosomal RNA (506 nucleotides) under uncultured bacterium. RNAcentral describes it as "bacterial SSU rRNA". It matches the Rfam family "Bacterial small subunit ribosomal RNA", at positions 28 to 521 of the family's 1533-position model. The record is from RNAcentral.
GACGAACGCUGGCGGCGUGGAUUAGGCAUGCAAGUCGAACGGUAUCAUCCUUUCGGGGGUGAGAGAGUGGCGAACUGGUGAGUAACACGUAGGUUAUCUACCCUCAAGACGGGGACAACCCAGGGAAACUUGGGGCUAAUACCGGAUGUGAGCAACUUUUAGUUGUUUGAAAGGUGGCGUAAGCUGUCGCUUGGGGAUGAGCCUGCGUCCUAUUAGUUAGUUGGUGAGGUAACGGCUCACCUAGGCAAUGAUAGGUAGGCGGCCUUAACGGGUGGUCGCCCACACUGGGAUUGAGAUACGGCCCAGACUCCUACGGGAGGCAGCAGUCGAGAAUAGUCUACAAUGGUCGGAAGACUGAUAGUGCGACGCCGCGUGAACGAUGAAUCCCUUCGGGGUGUAAAGUUCUUUUAUAUGUGAGCAGUGCUUCUUAUAUUAACAGUAUGGGGAGAGAGAUAUUAGCAUAUGAAUAAGCAACGGCUAACUCCCGUGCCCAGCCAGCCCGCGGU